CUGGUGAACAUGCAAAUCUGGCAUUCCCUUGACUGGACAUAUUAAUGGAAAAUUAGUUAAUAAACUGCUCUAGUUGGUAGAUCUAGACGAAGCGAUAAACGUUUUUGGUUGCUUUGAACAUUUUAUUUUGUGUUUUUCUUCUUGGAUUCAUUCAUGCCUCUUUUUUUGAGUGGUUGAAAAUCAAAAUUUUUUCUAUUAAUAUGAAUAUUUUUUUUAGCUAUUUAGCUUAAAAUUGCAUAGUUAUUGGUACAUUUGGAAGUUGAAAACGCCAAUUUUCACUUGUUUUUUCUCAACUAGUUUUCAAUCGCUAAAAACUUUCGUUCAAUGUCGCAAAAAGCCUUUUUCUCAACAGUAGCCCUUUUCAAAUCAUUGAAAUUAUCCGGUUUUCUUUAACAUCUUUAACACUAUCUUCUAAAAUGUUUUCUUUCAGAUUUCCCUUGUAUCUCAAAUGUCUAUAACAUCCACAUGUAAUUUGCGCCGUAUUAUCAUUUUCUCUGUUUAACGGAAGAACCAAGUUUAAUAAAAUGGAUCCAAGUUUUUUAAAAUCAAUUAAUAAAUGAACAAUAUAUCUCCCUUAACUGACUUUCAUUCAGAUACCUCACUUCCAUACAUUCCUAACAAACCUCUAUUAAAUAAUAUUCUACUCUUACUAUAUGUUAAAUGCCUAACAUUUACCUCUUUUAUAAAAUUCAUAUUACUAUAUUGAUGAUCUGACAAAUUGAAUAUUAUUAUAAUAGAGAGCCAAGUUUUCUUAAUUGUCGCCCUCUGCCACUCCAACCGAGGUGGUUUUUGGUUGAUGAGGAGAG
Molecule: non-coding RNA, 806 nt
Organism: Schizosaccharomyces pombe (fission yeast)
Lineage: Eukaryota; Fungi; Ascomycota; Schizosaccharomycetes; Schizosaccharomycetales; Schizosaccharomycetaceae
Source: the annotation of a GenBank genome assembly